UACAGAGGUCUCAAGCGUUGUUCGGAUUCAUUGGGCGUAAAGGGUGCGUAGGCGGUGAGGCAAGUCUGGUGUGAAAUCCCGGAGCUCAACUCCGGAACUGCACUGGAUACUGCUUUACUAGAGUACUGGAGAGGGAACUGGAAUUUACGGUGUAGCAGUGAAAUGCGUAGAUAUCGUAAGGAAGACCAGUGGCGAAGGCGAGUUCCUGGACAGUUACUGACGCUGAGGCACGAAGGCCAGGGGAGCAAACGGG
RNAcentral lists this ribosomal RNA (253 nucleotides) under uncultured bacterium. RNAcentral's name for it is "partial 16S ribosomal RNA". It matches the Rfam family "Bacterial small subunit ribosomal RNA", at positions 524 to 776 of the family's 1533-position model. The record is from RNAcentral.